GUCGCUCGUCCCGGGGCAUUCAGCCCGUUUUCUUGCCGACAGGCCUUUUCGGUGUUGGGGUGCGCUCGCGCGUGCCUUCUCCGGGAGGGUUUUUUCAUUUGGUGGCGAGACGGGUGCACUUGCUCCGGUCGUCAGACCGACGGUUCCUUCGCAGGCAGUGUGGACUCCCUUGGUCGGCAAACGGCAGUACAACGUUGCUCUGUUUACAGGGCCUCGAUCUCUUGCUCCGACUGGGAGGGAAACUGGCCUGGGGACCUAGGACCGCAUCGGGUCGGCUGUCUCCGUUACUCUCGAGCCGUGUGCCCUUGCUGCCUCUUUUGGUGGCAAGACGGGCGCGAGGACGCAUCGGAAGGAACGGGUGGCGCUUCGGCCUAAAUGGUGCUUGUCGGUGGCGGAUCAGGUCGGUACUCCACCCGACCCG
RNAcentral lists this ribosomal RNA (421 nucleotides) under Americardia media. RNAcentral's name for it is "partial 28S ribosomal RNA". Lineage: Eukaryota; Metazoa; Mollusca; Bivalvia; Cardiida; Cardiidae. The record is from RNAcentral.